Molecule: non-coding RNA, 752 nt
Organism: Camellia sinensis
Lineage: Eukaryota; Viridiplantae; Streptophyta; Magnoliopsida; Ericales; Theaceae
Source: RefSeq, a predicted model, not a curated record
AUAAAAAAUCCAAAACAACACCAGCACUAUCAAAAUUAAAAGAAAUAAAAAUGAAGAGACACAUAUGGAGAAUAGCAUAACCAUUUUCUCCAUCAUCGACUGAAGUUCGUCGGCGACCAGUGCUUCCGUCGGCUACUAUUACUUCCAUCGGCCUCCUUUUUUUCCAUUGUCAGCCCUAAAGUUGUUCAACAUCAAUCGGUUUAGGGUAAAUAGAAGUUGCGACUUUUAUUCUUGAACAGAGCUUCGAUUCUUCUUCUUCUUCAACAUAGCUUCGACUUGCAGCCCUAACAGAUUUGUUAAGUUGAUCCCAGUCCUCCUAAGGAAGAUGGCUCAGAAGAAUGCCCUUGUUCGGAAAUUUCCUAGUGUUGAAAUUCUUGGUUGCACAACCGUGAUUUGUUCUCAGCUUCAUUCUUCAUCUCAAUUGAUGAAAUGAUAAUAUGACAAUGGAUUUUGAUGAGAGGUACUUCCAUGGGAAACCACAAAAUAGCUUCCACAAAGCAGUGAAUAUCCCUGAUGUGGCAGUUUUUCCAAGGAAUGCAGAGGAAGUGUCCAAGAUAGUCAAAUCUUGUAACAAGUAUAAGGGACCCCAUUUGUAGAUUUUGGCUCAAUCAAUAAGGCCUACUUGUUUCAUGUUAGUGGUGAAGCUUGUGCAGGCUCACCUUAUUGCUUUACUUCGGGUCUGUGCGGUCCUCUCUGAUUGAAUGCCUUGGAGUGGAGACUUUCUACUAGUUUCCUUUCUUGUGAGCCCCUCU